Molecule: ribosomal RNA, 691 nt
Filed under: uncultured Ascomycota
Lineage: Eukaryota; Fungi; Ascomycota
Description: LSU rRNA
Rfam family: Eukaryotic large subunit ribosomal RNA
Source: RNAcentral
GGGAAUGUAGCUCCUCUCGAGGAGUGUUAUAGCCCGUUGCGAAAUGCGGCCAGCUUGGACUGAGGUCCGCGCUUCGGCUAGGAUGCUGGCGUAAUGGUUGUAAGCGGCCCGUCUUGAAACACGGACCAAGGAGUCUAACAUCUGUGCGAGUGUUUGGGUGUCAAACCCGUACGCGUAAUGAAAGUGAACGGAGGCGGGAACCUCUCGGGGUGCACCGUCGACCGAUCCUGAUGUCUUCGGAUGGAUUUGAGUAAGAGCAUAGCUGUUGGGACCCGAAAGAUGGUGAACUAUGCCUGAAUAGGGUGAAGCCAGAGGAAACUCUGGUGGAGGCUCGCAGCGGUUCUGACGUGCAAAUCGAUCGUCAAAUUUGGGCAUAGGGGCGAAAGACUAAUCGAACUAUCUAGUAGCUGGUUCCUGCCGAAGUUUCCCUCAGGAUAGCAGUAACGUUUUCAGUUUUAUGAGGUAAAGCGAAUGAUUAGAGGCCUGGGGGUUGAAACAACCUUCACCUAUUCUCAAACUUUAAAUAUGUAAGAAGUCCUUGUUGCUUAGUUGAACGUGGACAUUUGAAUGUAUCGUUACUAGUGGGCCAUUUUUGGUAAGCAGAACUGGCGAUGCGGGAUGAACCGAACGCGGAGUUAAGGUGCCGGAAUGCACGCUCAUCAGACACCACAAAAGGUGAUGGUUCAUCUAG